GACAGAGGGUGCAAACGUUGUUCGGAAUUACUGGGCGUAAAGCGCGUGUAGGCGGCCCUGCAAGUCGGGUGUGAAAUCCCAUGGCUCAACCAUGGAAGUGCACUCGAAACUGCAGGGCUAGAGUCCUGGAGAGGAAGGUGGAAUGCUUGGUGUAGAGGUGAAAUUCGUAGAUAUCAAGCGGAACACCGGUGGCGAAGGCGGCCUUCUGGACAGUGACUGGCGCUGAGACGCGAAAGCGUGGGGAGCAAACAGG
This 253-nucleotide ribosomal RNA is filed under the name uncultured bacterium. RNAcentral's name for it is "partial 16S ribosomal RNA". It matches the Rfam family "Bacterial small subunit ribosomal RNA", at positions 524 to 776 of the family's 1533-position model. The record is from RNAcentral.